Molecule: ribosomal RNA, 837 nt
Filed under: uncultured bacterium
Lineage: Bacteria
Description: bacterial SSU rRNA
Rfam family: Bacterial small subunit ribosomal RNA
Source: RNAcentral
GGCUCAGGAUGAACGCUGGCGGUAUGCUUAACACAUGCAAGUCGAACGGAGUACUUCGGUACUUAGUGGCGGACGGGUGAGUAACGCGUGAGAAUCUGCCUUCAGGUCGGGGACAACAGUUGGAAACGACUGCUAAUACCGGAUGAGCCGAAAGGUGAAAGGUUUACUGCCUGAAGAUGAGCUCGCGUCUGAUUAGCUAGUAGGUGUGGUAAGAGCGCACCUAGGCGACGAUCAGUAGCUGGUCUGAGAGGAUGAUCAGCCACACUGGGACUGAGACACGGCCCAGACUCCUACGGGAGGCAGCAGUGGGGAAUUUUCCGCAAUGGGCGAAAGCCUGACGGAGCAAUACCGCGUGAGGGAGGAAGGCUCUUGGGUUGUAAACCUCUUUUCUUAGGGAAUAAGUUCUGAAGGUACCUAAGGAAUAAGCAUCGGCUAACUCCGUGCCAGCAGCCGCGGUAAUACGGAGGAUGCAAGCGUUAUCCGGAAUGAUUGGGCGUAAAGAGUCCGUAGGUGGUUUCACAAGUCUGCUGUCAAAGAAUGAGGCUCAACCUCAUCAAGGCGGUGGAAACUGAGAGACUAGAGUGCGUUCGGGGCAGAAGGAAUUCCUGGUGUAGCGGUGAAAUGCGUAGAUAUCAGGAAGAACACCGGUGGCGAAAGCGUUCUGCUAGGCCGCAACUGACACUGAGGGACGAAAGCUAGGGGAGCGAAUGGGAUUAGAUACCCCAGUAGUCCUAGCCGUAAACGAUGGAUACUAGGCGUGGCUUGUAUCGACCCGAGCCGUGCCGGAGCUAACGCGUUAAGUAUCCCGCCUGGGGAGUACGCACGCAAGUGUGAAAC